Molecule: non-coding RNA, 52 nt
Organism: Myotis brandtii (Brandt's bat)
Lineage: Eukaryota; Metazoa; Chordata; Mammalia; Chiroptera; Vespertilionidae
Source: Rfam
UUUUUAGUGUAAGUAUGUCCCAUGCAAUAUUUUGGAUAUACUUACACUAAAU